This 408-nucleotide long non-coding RNA is filed under the name Vulpes vulpes (red fox). RNAcentral's name for it is "lncRNA (ENSVVUG00000022180.1)". The record is from RNAcentral. Lineage: Eukaryota; Metazoa; Chordata; Mammalia; Carnivora; Canidae.
AUGUUUCGAAAUUCCCAACGGCACCGCGGUGAGAUCGUCUCGCCGAGCUUCCGGGUUGGGCCGGCCGGGCCAGCUCCCGAGCCAGGUGCCGAGCCUGGGUUGGAGGCCGGGAGGGUGCGCCUUGUAAGUCGUCCAGAAACGGCAUCGAGUCAACGGGGACCACAGGCUGCGGCCGCAGAGCGAUCUGGACAGGACGUGAGCUGUGAUGAAGGACGGACGCCCGCAGCAAGGCCGUCCCAUCGAACAUUCUCGCUACAGAGUCCCNCAAGGCCCCCCCCCCCCCCCCGAACCCAUCGUCCCAGGCUCGGCCGCACACCACCACCACCCCACAUCCUGGAGAGUGAAAAUGCUCAGUAUGGGGCGGGGAGGAGCGCGCGCCUAAAAUGUUUCCUUUUGGAAGAAAUGUAA